CCUUCGGGGAGUAAGGCCCCUUGCUAGACGACAAGGUUGAUAGGCCGGAGCUGUAAGCGCAGCAAUGCGUUCAGGCGACCGGUACUAAUAGGCCGAGGACUUGGUAUC
Molecule: ribosomal RNA, 108 nt
Filed under: Actinomycetota bacterium
Lineage: Bacteria; Bacillati; Actinomycetota
Description: partial 23S ribosomal RNA
Rfam family: Bacterial large subunit ribosomal RNA
Source: RNAcentral